GUGGGAAUGGCGCUAGAGAGUUCUCAGUUUAAUGCCGUGUAUUAUGACAGCAAGAUGGUAUAGCUGCAGGUGGGAAUUUACUAUGACUCAGUUAGCAAAGCGGGUCUCACCUGCAGAGGAUAUGAUAAAAUAUUCCAGAGCCCGAGGAAGAGAAAUAAACCAAUAUGGUUAUUUCUAUGAUGAAAGAGUACUGCUUGCUUGGACAAUGAUGUAGUUUAUGAUGGACUUUGGAUAGCAACUUCCGUUCCAAAAUUCUGGAGUCUCUUACCUCUUGAUCGAAGUUCCAUGGGGAUGACGUCCAAAUUCCAAGACUCCUGUUGACAAGAGGUUGAGUACAGAUACAUGAUGACAUUUCUGCCAUCAGGAUGCACUAUUUAGAACCCAUUGUGGGUUUGGUCAUUUGUCACCCAUUCUUUUUAAUA
This is a long non-coding RNA of Triticum dicoccoides, 422 nucleotides long. RefSeq lists it as uncharacterized. NCBI's taxonomy places the organism in Eukaryota, Viridiplantae, Streptophyta, Magnoliopsida, Poales, Poaceae. The record is from RefSeq and is a predicted model, not a curated record. The transcript has 3 exons.